GAUGAAGAACGUAGCGAAAUGCGAUAAGUAGUGUGAAUUGCAGAAUUCAGUGAAUCAUCGAAUCUUUGAACGCACAUUGCGCCCUUUGGCAUUCCGAAGGGCAUGCCUGUUCGAGCGUCAUGAUCAAAUCUCAAGCCUUGCUUGGUAUUGGGUUUUCGUCUCUCUCGUCUUCGUACGGGUAUUGACGUGCCUGAAAAUCAAUGGCAGUGCCUUAUUAGACUCAAGCGUAGCAGACUGACACGCUUUAGAGAACUUUUGUAGGACCUGUCAAUGAAAUAAUAAGUUGGACCUCGGAUCAGGUAGGGAUAUACCCGCUGAACUUAAGCAUAUCAAUAAGCGGAGGA
RNAcentral lists this unclassified non-coding RNA (344 nucleotides) under soil metagenome. Its description in RNAcentral is "partial contains 5.8S ribosomal RNA, internal transcribed spacer 2, and large subunit ribosomal RNA". The stretch from base 1 to 120 matches the Rfam family "5.8S ribosomal RNA", at positions 35 to 154 of the family's 154-position model. The record is from RNAcentral.